RNAcentral lists this long non-coding RNA (342 nucleotides) under Bos taurus (domestic cattle). RNAcentral describes it as "long non-coding RNA NONBTAT006717". The record is from RNAcentral. Lineage: Eukaryota; Metazoa; Chordata; Mammalia; Artiodactyla; Bovidae.
UGGAUGGUGAGCGAUUAGAGCACUAACCGUGAUUUCUCUAACAUUACAUUAAGAAAAACAAAAUUUGUUCAGUGUAUGUUGAUUGAGCCAGAAGCAGUGGUGGAAUCAGGAAUGCAAUCUAUUUGGUGAAGCAGAGGAUUACAGGACAGGGGAGACACAUGUGCCCCAGGUGUGUAUAGACACUUUGUCAUGGAAACCCCCAGCAAGGGGCUCCCCCCCUUGGUUGGGCUCCAAGUUUGGAAUGCAGAAAAUAGGAGUAUUUUUCUGCUGAACCUUCAUGGCAGAGGUAAGCAAGCCCUCAGCCCAAGGGAAGGGAGAAAAUGAGAUUAGUCAAAACAUCAA